GGGGAUGUAGCUCAGUUGGGAGAGCGUAGCGUUCGCAACGCUAAGGUCAGGGGUUCGAUCCCCCUCAUCUCCACCA
RNAcentral lists this transfer RNA (76 nucleotides) under Desulfosarcina widdelii. RNAcentral describes it as "tRNA-Ala". It matches the Rfam family "tRNA". From Rfam's summary of the family: Transfer RNA (tRNA) molecules are approximately 80 nucleotides in length. The record is from RNAcentral. RNAcentral also lists the same sequence under 4 other names. Lineage: Bacteria; Pseudomonadati; Thermodesulfobacteriota; Desulfobacteria; Desulfobacterales; Desulfosarcinaceae.